AUCGAACGCUGGCGGCAGGCCUAACACAUGCAAGUCGAGCGAGCGGCGGACGGGUGAGUAAUGUAUGGGGAACUGCCCGAUAGAGGGGGAUAACUACUGGAAACGGUGGCUAAUACCGCAUACUAUCGGAUGAACCCAUAUGGGAUUAGCUAGUAGGUGGGGUAAAGGCUCACCUAGGCGACGCUCCCUAGCUGGUCUGAGAGGAUGAUCCGCCACACGUGGACUGAGACACUGCCCAGACUCCUACGGGAGGCAGCAGUGGCGAAUAUUGCACUAUGGGCGCAAGCCUGAUGCAGCCAUGCCGCGUGUAUGAAGAAGGCCUUAGGGUUGUAAAGUACUUUCAGCGGGGAGGCGUUACCCGCAGAAGAAGCACCGGCUAACUCCGUGCCAGCAGCCGCGGUAAUUC
This 406-nucleotide ribosomal RNA is filed under the name uncultured bacterium. RNAcentral's name for it is "partial 16S ribosomal RNA". It matches the Rfam family "Bacterial small subunit ribosomal RNA", at positions 30 to 526 of the family's 1533-position model. The record is from RNAcentral.